UAUCUGUAGGUGAACCUGCGGAAGGAUCAUUCAUAAUAAAGUGUUUUAUGGCACUUUUUAAAAAUCCAUAUCCACCUUGUGUGCAAUGUUAGAUCUCGUCAAUCUUGGCGAGAUUUUUAUACAUCAACUCAUUCUUUAACUAAUUUGUCUGAAAAAUAUUAUGAAUACUUAAUUCAAAAUACAACUUUCAACAACGGAUCUCUUGGCUCUC
Molecule: unclassified non-coding RNA, 211 nt
Filed under: plant metagenome
Description: partial contains small subunit ribosomal RNA, internal transcribed spacer 1, and 5.8S ribosomal RNA
Source: RNAcentral